GGCAAGGGUCCGCGCGACGAAAGUCUGUUAACCCCGUCAGGACCGGAAGGUAGCAGCGGCAUGCGGAGUCUUUCGAGCGCCGCGGGUAGCUCUGGCCUGA
This is a signal recognition particle RNA of 100 nucleotides. It matches the Rfam family "Bacterial small signal recognition particle RNA". Rfam says of the family: The signal recognition particle (SRP) is a universally conserved ribonucleoprotein involved in the co-translational targeting of proteins to membranes.